UUGCUUCAGCAGCACAUAUACUAAAAUUGGAACAAUACAGGGUAGAUUAGUGUGCCUUGUGCACAAGGAUGACAUACAAAUUUGUGAAGCAUUCCAUAUUUUC
Molecule: small nuclear RNA, 103 nt
Organism: Tympanuchus pallidicinctus (lesser prairie-chicken)
Lineage: Eukaryota; Metazoa; Chordata; Aves; Galliformes; Phasianidae
Source: RefSeq, a predicted model, not a curated record